RNAcentral lists this ribosomal RNA (274 nucleotides) under uncultured bacterium. RNAcentral's name for it is "partial 16S ribosomal RNA". It matches the Rfam family "Bacterial small subunit ribosomal RNA", at positions 523 to 796 of the family's 1533-position model. The record is from RNAcentral.
AUACGGGGGUUGCAAGCGUUAUUCGGAUUUAUUGGGCGUAAAGGGCGCGUAGGCGGCUUGGUAAGUCAGAUGUGAAAGCCCGGGGCUCAACCCCGGAAGUGCAUUUGAAACUAUCAGGCUUGAGUAUGGGAGAGGGAAGUGGAAUUCCUGGUGUAGAGGUGAAAUUCGUAGAUAUCAGGAGGAACACCGGUGGCGAAGGCGACUUCCUGGACCAAUACUGACGCUGAGGCGCGAAGGCGUGGGGAGCAAACAGGAUUAGAUACCCUUGUAGUCC